Molecule: small RNA, 528 nt
Filed under: Pongo abelii (Sumatran orangutan)
Lineage: Eukaryota; Metazoa; Chordata; Mammalia; Primates; Hominidae
Description: processed transcript
Source: RNAcentral
UCAGGCUGCCCUCUGAAUGAGACACAAUACUUGUACCUCUGAGAAUGGUCUGCAGGUGCAGAGGACAGCCUCUCCAGUUAAGGCUGUUUGUGCAGCUGCUGGCUCUGACAUCCUUUUCCUGCUCCACCACAGCCCAUGAUGAUUGAUGAACUGUAUGAGCUGGUGGUGGAUGCCAUCUUUGGCUUCAGCUUCAAGGGUGAUGUUCGGGAACCGUUCCACAGCAUCCUGAGUGUCCUGAAGGGACUCACUGUGCCCAUUGCCAGCAUCGACAUUCCCUCAGGAUGGGACGUGGAGAAGGGAAACUCUGGAGGGAUCCAGCCAGACUUGCUCAUCUCCCUCACAGCCCCCAAAAAAUCUGCAACCCAGUUUACCGGUCGCUACCAUUACCUGGGGGGUCGUUUUGUGCCACCUGCUCUGGAAAAGAAGUACCAGCUGAACCUGCCACCCUACCCUGACACCGAGUGUGUCUAUCAUCUGCAGUGAGGGAAGGUGGGUGGGUAUUCUUCCCAGUAAAGACUUAGAGCCCCU